GACGAACGCUGGCGGCGUGCUUAACACAUGCAAGUCGAACGGUGAAGGGAUCAGCUUGCUGGUUCUGGAUGAGUGGCGAACGGGUGAGUAACACGUGAGUAACCUGCCCCCUUCUUCUGGAUAACCGCAUGAAAGUGUGGCUAAUACGGGAUAUUCUGCGCCUGCUGCAUGGUGGGUGUGGGAAAGAUAUUGUUUCGGUGGGGGAUGGGCUCGCGGCCUAUCAGCUUGUUGGUGGGGUGAUGGCCUACCAAGGCGGUGACGGGUAGCCGGCCUGAGAGGGGGGCCGGUCACACUGGGACUGAGACACGGCCCAGACUCCUACGGGAGGCAGCAGUGGGGAAUAUUGCACAAUGGGCGCAAGCCUGAUGCAGCGACGCCGCGUGAGGGAGGGAGGCCUUCGGGUUGUGAACCUCUUUCGCCAGUGAAGCAGGCCUGUCCCUUGUGGGUGGGUUGACGGUAGCUGGAGAAGAAGCGCCGGCUAACUACGUG
Molecule: ribosomal RNA, 489 nt
Filed under: uncultured bacterium
Lineage: Bacteria
Description: partial 16S ribosomal RNA
Rfam family: Bacterial small subunit ribosomal RNA
Source: RNAcentral